CAAUUUUUUUUUUUUUUUAAAACAUUGAAGAAAACAUUCAAUCUCCCAGCCAAGGCCUCCGAGCCUUUACCACAGCAAUUAUGAAGGACACUGAGGUUUGGUUCUAUCCUUGUCAUUUCAGAAUCCAAAGACAAAAGGAAACAUCAAGGCAUCCAGGUGUUAGAAAAAAGCAGAUUGUUCUAUAAGGGAACAAGAAGACCAAUUCCUGGCUUCUGAUAGCAAUGAGGACCGUCAUUCAACUGAACUUUCCUUACAGUGGUGGAAAAGAAAAACAGUGACUGGAAACGAAGGAUUCUGAGCAAAAUAAUCAAAUUUGAAGGUGAAACAAACAAACCAACAAAAAUGAACCAUGUUCAGAGAAGCAAUAAGUAGGCAAAGUACCAAGUAGCCCAUCUGCACUCAGGAAGGUGGCAGAGGGAUUCCUGCUGGGAAGAGCAGUGUGAUCCCAGAUGGCAGCAGAACGCAGAGGACCGAGCAGGAGAUGGUUGACUAUAAAGGCGUAAAGUACAGCGCAGGGAGAUACUCAGUAUUCAUGACAACCUCAGGUACGAGAGGCCUAGCACACUCCGAGAGGAAAGCGAAUACAGAGCAUCACGUUAUUGCACGGAAACAAGGGAUGGUGUGAGAGACCCAUGGAGGACCCUGUGUAGUCUGAUGCUGUAUAUGGACUGUCAUCAGCUUCCCUUUCUCCUCAGCUGCUUCUCAAGACGAGGCCGGAAGAGCAAGCGCCUGAAAGUUAAAGGCACCAAGCGGUGAUCCGUGCCCAGCCCCAACUCAACUUUGACAAUUUCACAUUAGAGCCCAGUUGGACUUAAAGCUCACUACAUAGUCCAGACUCUGCUCACACCCAUGACGGUCCUCUUGCCUUGGCCACUGGAGUGCUAUGAUGACAGGUGUGAGCCAUCACAUUCAUCAUCCAGCAUUGAUUUUUUAAAAAAAUGAUUUACUUUUAUUUGCAUGUGUGCAUGUGUGCAUACACAUGUGGAGAUGUAUACGCAAGUGCAAGUGCUCACGGAACCCAGAGACAUCAGAUUUCCCUGAACUUAUAGGUGCUUGUGACCCUUUCAGCAUGCAUCCUGAGAACUGAACUCAGGUCCUGCGCAAGAGCAGUAUGUGCUCUUAAUUACUGAGCUACGCCCCCAGCCUUGCAGCUUUGAUUUUAAUAGCAGCAAGAUUUAGUCCCAAAGCACAGACCUUUCCUGUUCCUUUAGCUGGAAUGGGUGUAGUGGAUACAAGACAGUGAGAAAUGAGAUGAAAAAUUGGCUCACUUCUUAAACCUUAUGUUCCCUGUUUUUAGCAAGUAAAAUGGACUUGAAGGAGGCCCAUUUUCUCCUAAUGGGUUUG
RNAcentral lists this long non-coding RNA (1344 nucleotides) under Mus spicilegus (steppe mouse). Its description in RNAcentral is "lncRNA (ENSMSIG00000024387.1)". Lineage: Eukaryota; Metazoa; Chordata; Mammalia; Rodentia; Muridae. The record is from RNAcentral.